Molecule: non-coding RNA, 26 nt
Filed under: Gallus gallus (chicken)
Lineage: Eukaryota; Metazoa; Chordata; Aves; Galliformes; Phasianidae
Also listed under: 2 other names
Source: RNAcentral
CAGUGCAAUAGUAUUGUCAAAGCAUC